Molecule: long non-coding RNA, 296 nt
Filed under: Musa acuminata (dwarf banana)
Lineage: Eukaryota; Viridiplantae; Streptophyta; Magnoliopsida; Zingiberales; Musaceae
Description: long non-coding RNA (MACU_LNC005268)
Source: RNAcentral
AAGCAUCAUGUAAGUCAAGAUUGCAAGCCAAGAAAGAUAACUGGCUCUCUCCACUAUGUAGCAAACUUCUGUUUCGACUGAAGACAAAAAUAGUUCAUAGUUGCAUACCUUGAGAUCUACACGGUUGAUGUUGUCCACAUACACUAGAUUAUCAAAACUGCAGCUGCAUGCGUCAGAAAGAUUAUACAUACAAUAUGAAAGAUUCCGUAGUAGCUGAAAGUCCGAGGGCAUCAUCUAAUUGCCACAUCCAAUGCCAAAGUGGAGAUUCCGUAGUAGCUGAAAGUCCAAGGGCAUCA